AAGAGAUCAGAAUUCAGCUUCCCCAGGGACAGCAAGGCCAAGGUGUCUAGAUCCUGGCCUCUCUCCAGAUCCUGGCCUCUCUCAAGGCCAAGACUCUCUCUUAAGAUCUCUCUCUCAAGGCCAAGAUCUCUCUCCAGAUAUUGGCCUCUCUGAAGGUUACUUCCAAGAUCUCAGAGGGCCAUUCACUGUGGAUCUAAUAUGAAGACAGAGAAACCAGCCUUCCAGAGGAGCAGACACAUUUCCUUACUCCCAGGAUACACUUUGUAUGGUCCACAGAUCUGCCCUGAUGAUCAUGAAGGAACGGGAAAGAGCCUGGUAAAAUGAUAUGGACUUGUACAAACGCAAAGCAAUGGUGAAGUCAUCACGAACCGCACAGACUGGACAGAACUCCUAUCUGGCUGCAAUGGCUUGGGUUCAGUCAGCCCAGGGGCCAGAGAAUUGGCUAGAAAGAGCUCUGGAGUGCCCCUCCCUCCAGAUAAAGUAUUCUAAGUGUG
RNAcentral lists this non-coding RNA (494 nucleotides) under Pongo abelii (Sumatran orangutan). Lineage: Eukaryota; Metazoa; Chordata; Mammalia; Primates; Hominidae. The record is from RNAcentral.